AUUGAACGCUGGCGGCAGGCCUAACACAUGCAAGUCGAGCGGAGCGGCGGACGGGUGAGUAAUGCCUAGGAAUCUGCCUGGUAGUGGGGGAUAACGUCCGGAAACGGGCGCUAAUACCGCAUACUAGCAGAUGAGCCUAGGUCGGAUUAGGUAGUGGGUGGGGUCAAGGCCUACCAAGGCGAGGAUCCGUAACUGGUCGAAAAGGAUGAUCAGUCACACUGGAACGGAGACACGGUCCAUACUCCUACGGGAGGCAGCAGGGGGGAAUAUUGGACAAUGGGCGAAAGCCUGAACCAGCCAUGCCGCGUGUGUGAAGAAGGUCUUCGGAUUGUAAAGCACUUUAAGUUGGGAGGCGUUCCCAACAGAAUAAGCACCGGCUAACUUCGUGCCAGCAGCCGCGGUAAUAC
This 407-nucleotide ribosomal RNA is filed under the name uncultured bacterium. RNAcentral describes it as "partial 16S ribosomal RNA". It matches the Rfam family "Bacterial small subunit ribosomal RNA", at positions 30 to 526 of the family's 1533-position model. The record is from RNAcentral.